Molecule: long non-coding RNA, 302 nt
Organism: Cercocebus atys (sooty mangabey)
Lineage: Eukaryota; Metazoa; Chordata; Mammalia; Primates; Cercopithecidae
Exons: 2
Source: RefSeq, a predicted model, not a curated record
AGUUGGUUACAAGGGGAGCAGCCGCCCAGGGGACGCCCCACAGCUCCCGGCAGAGGCCUCGGUGUCCUUUGCGGUUUUCCUGCCGUGCUCCGACUGGAGUCAAGGCAGCGGGAACAGGCGGAGCCGUGAGAGCGCCGCCGAGCGGCCCCACCGGGUGGUCGCGGCCAUAACAGCGGCUCCUCACCGGCUCACCUUCCACGCCCCUGCCGCCGGAGAUGAGGAAUAUAGAAGACUUAGAUCACUAUGAGAUGAAAGAAGAGCCUAUGAGUGGGAAACAGGUGGAGGAUGAAGGAACUGAAAAA